CUCCUGGAAAACGGGUGGUAAUGCCGGAUGCUCCAGUUGAUUGCAUGGUCUUCUGGGAAAGCCUUUGCGGCAUGGGAUGGGGUCGCGUCCUAUCAGCUUGAUGGCGGGGUAACGGCCCACCAUGGCUUCGACGGGUAGCCGGCCUGAGAGGGCGACCGGCCACAUUGGGACUGAGAUACGGCCCAGACUCCUACGGGAGGCAGCAGUGGGGAAUAUUGCACAAUGGGCGCAAGCCUGAUGCAGCGACGCCGCGUGAGGGAUGGAGGCCUUCGGGUUGUAAACCUCUUUUGUUAGGGAGCAAGGCAUUUUGUGUUGAGUGUACCUUUCGAAUAAGCACCGGCUAACUACGUGCCAGCAGCCGCGGUAAUACGUAGGGUGCAAGCGUUAUCCGGAAUUAUUGGGCGUAAAGGGCUCGUAGGCGGUUCGUCGCGUCCGGUGUGAAAGUCCAUCGCUUAACGGUGGAUCCGCGCCGGGUACGGGCGGGCUUGAGUGCGGUAGGGGAGACUGGAAUUCCCGGUGUAACGGUGGAAUGUGUAGAUAUCGGAAAGAACACCA
Molecule: ribosomal RNA, 555 nt
Filed under: Bifidobacterium breve
Lineage: Bacteria; Bacillati; Actinomycetota; Actinomycetes; Bifidobacteriales; Bifidobacteriaceae
Description: bacterial SSU rRNA
Rfam family: Bacterial small subunit ribosomal RNA
Source: RNAcentral